UUUUAGCAUCUGCUUUUGUGUAUACGGACUCUGUGUGGACAGGAGCCAGCCCCCCCCAAAGCUGAUAGCAGUCUUUCUUCCAUUGAUGUCAAUGAGCUUAGAUCAGAGCACAAGUCCUGUGAGUGAUCAAAGACAGUUCUACAUAAAAAAGACUUCCUUUUCCAGGUGCUACAGUGGCAACUCCCAACCUAUGCUGAAACAACCAAAUGCUUCAGAGUUUCCAGAGUCAUUCCCAUCCUGGCCUUUCAGUUCACUAAAAAAGAGAAAUAAACAGUGAAACUGAGGCUCACACUUUCUCUCCAAGCACACCUGAGUUUUGGACUCUCGCUGCAGGACAGAGCAGCCAUCCCUGAACCAGCUCCUGGGGGAUGCUCUGCUCUCCCCAUGCCAUCGGGGAGGUAACAGCUACGCACCUCCUGGCUCAGCCCGCACACGUGCUGCAGUAAUUGUGGCUUCAGUUUGCAAAGCUGUGGUCAGGGGGAAAGCUUAUAAGUGAGAGGUGCAGAGGUACCUCGCCGCUCCCUUGUGGUUUCCCUUUCGCGUAGGACACAGCACAGUGCCAGUGUGCAAAGAGAGGUGAGUUUGGGCAGAGGCUGGUUGUAGGUUACCAAGGCAAGUUCCUCAACACAAAGUAUGGGUCAAACACCAGGAUGGCUGCCAGAACUGAAAUAACCCUGAUAGACCAGCUGUAAUGAACAAAUUGGCAUGAGUGUAUUUUCUCCAAAGCAACGAGAAGACUAUUAGUUAGAUAAGAUGGUCUUCAUAACCUUUUUCUAAUCUGACUAAUCAACACACCAAAUUCUCUUUCCUUGCUGAUCCUAGAAACUCAGAGGAAGGAGAAUAUUGUAUCUGUGACAGACCUGGAUCUCUACAGUGGGGCUGAUAACAGGAUACCUGUUUUGGCACUAGCUUUAGUUUUGGUGACUUGUAUGGCUCCCACCAACACCUCAGGAAGAUUGCUACUUCUGGGAAGGGUGCAAAACAUUAAGGGAAAUCUAAAAAGGGACCAAGUUGUUUCAAGACAAUAAAGCUGAUUCUGUGGCCA
Long non-coding RNA from Anser brachyrhynchus (Pink-footed goose), 1045 nucleotides. The record is from Ensembl. Lineage: Eukaryota; Metazoa; Chordata; Aves; Anseriformes; Anatidae.